GUGCUUACACAUGCAAGUCGAACGAUGAUCCCAGCUUGCUGGGGGAUUAGUGGCGAACGGGUGAGUAACACGUGAGUAACCUGCCCUUGACUCUGGGAUAAGCCUGGGAAACUGGGUCUAAUACCGGAUACGACCAUCUGGCGCAUGUCAUGGUGGUGGAAAGCUUUUGUGGUUUUGGAUGGACUCGCGGCCUAUCAGCUUGUUGGUGGGGUAAUGGCCUACCAAGGCGACGACGGGUAGCCGGCCUGAGAGGGUGACCGGCCACACUGGGACUGAGACACGGCCCAGACUCCUACGGGAGGCAGCAGUGGGGAAUAUUGCACAAUGGGCGCAAGCCUGAUGCAGCGACGCCGCGUGAGGGAUGACGGCCUUCGGGUUGUAAACCUCUUUCAGUAGGGAAGAAGCGAAAGUGACGGUACCUGCAGAAGAAGCGCCGGCUAACUACGUGCCAGC
This 453-nucleotide ribosomal RNA is filed under the name Paenarthrobacter sp. Its description in RNAcentral is "bacterial SSU rRNA". It matches the Rfam family "Bacterial small subunit ribosomal RNA", at positions 44 to 512 of the family's 1533-position model. Lineage: Bacteria; Bacillati; Actinomycetota; Actinomycetes; Micrococcales; Micrococcaceae. The record is from RNAcentral.